UCUUGGGAAAUUAGAGAGCUAGUCUGCCCUUCCAGGCUUCUGAGGGAGUUCAUACAGCCUUGGCUUUGUCCAUCUGGACAUCCAGCCUCUGCUCCCUAGGACCAAGACAGCAAGUUUAACAAGCACCAGGAUCUCCAGGCCCUAUCACAGGCCAAAUUCUUUCUAUGACAAGCUGAAGACGGAACACGGGAAGUUCAUGUUGGACCUGCAGACCUUGAGGAAUGAGGACACUGAGGCCUCAGAGAAGUUCAAGAAGCUCAACAAGGAGACUGGCUCCUAUCCGUAAGAGCCUGUCUUGGCCAGGAGCCCACCAGCCAUGGAAUGGUCAUCUCUGCCUUUCUUUGUUUUUGGACUGGAGAGUUCCAAGCUCUGGUUCUAGCCUUUCUGCCUCUUAGCAACCAAUGUCCCUUGUGGCUCUUGAACUUAUGCCUCUUGGACUCAGUUUUGCUGAGUGUGAGUGAGACUAGGAUUGUCCUGCCCCCUUCAGGAGCCUCUAGAUAGAAAGGCAGUUCGUAUCUUGAGAGAGUGUCAGUCAGCCCUGGGCCUCUGGGGCUCAGGCAGGGUUUUACAGAGCAGGUUAGCAUGGGACCAGUAAAUAGAAUGUACUCCCACAGGGUCUCCCAUUCACCCUCAGAGGGUCUUUGUCCUCUACUUGCUGGUAUAUCCCCAUUACUGUAGAUAGAUAAGCAGAGGCGGGAGACUCCUCUUGUUCUUGGAGGUACAUAGAUUUCUUUUUGGAGAGAUAUUUUUAGAAGUAGUUUGAUUCUUUCUGGAACUGGCUGUUCCCUGAUUUUGGCCUUCUGAGUAUAGCUAUCAUGGCUGUAUUAGAUGCUUGUCUAGGUUUCCAUGGGUCCUGAUGGGGCUAAUGUACCUGGGAGUAGAAAUGGUAAGGAGAGACUGACAGAAGCUUACUAUGAGGUGAGUCUUUCCAGCAACCUCCACCGUUGGCUCCAGAUAGAGCAGACCUGGCCGAAGAAGGUGGACAGGCUGAGGCAGGACAAGAAGAAAGUGCAGGGGGAUUGGUCCCUGCUCUAGCAGCAUUUGGGGGACUUGAAGCUGCUCUGUCAGGACCAACAGGAGGAAACCAGUGAGCUCCAGACCCCGCAACAGCUAGCAGGGUAGGCAGCUAGGUCAGGCUAAGGUCUAGUACCAUUUGCCCGUUGACUGUCUGUCUGCUCAUCCACACACCAGUGCUUUUACCCAUCACCUUAUUCACCCAGCUACCCACCUCAUGCCAUCCAAUUGGGCAUUUAUUCUGUGUCCAUGCCCGAGGAUUUCUGGGAAGUUAGUUUCUCUAGAGAAACUAAAUAUUUGGCAAGCAAACCCAGCUGAUCUUCUUGAAGCUGCAGUCGAGAGAGAGAGAGAGAGAGAGAGAGAGAGAGAGAGAGAGAGAGAUGAGCAACAUGUCACAUACCUACAUGUCUGUAGGUUGAUGUCAUUAUGCAAGUGAAGGCAGACACAAGGUAAAACGGGGCCUGACAUUGGAGAAGGAACAGAGGUUUUAGAAGGAGAGGGAGAAGCAGAAGAGAGGAGGGACAACAUGGAGGCAGACGUAAAAUGAUCCUCGCCAUGCAUCUCUACAUAGGUACAGGUUGUUAGGAAUAUUUCUUUCUUUCUUUUUUUUUUUUCAGAGCUGGGAACCGAACCCAGGGCCUUGCGCAAGCGCUCUACCACUGAGCUAAAUCCCCAACCCCGUUAUGAAUAUUUCUUAAGGGAUGGAUUUCUAUAGGUCAAUUUAUCUUAUCUAGGUGGGCAGUUCAUAUCCUUAUCAAUUGGUUAUGAGUUUAUUGUUUGAAUGUAUUGUGGAUUGAGAAUUUAACAUAUAAAUCUGGUUGGGUUGCAGUUUGUUGAGUCUUGAUUUUACCAGGUGGCUGGAACCAGAGAGUUCGCGGCUAGUAGAGAGCGGCCGGGAGAGAUACUAACCAGAGAUAAAUUAUGGUUAGUUCCUUAUGGCCCCACAGGUGCCGGAACUAACUCUAGGGAUCAGCGUGGCACGGUGCCAUGUCGGAAUGGCUCGAGGAUCGCCUGGGUCUGAGAGUACUUGGGGGCAUCAUGGAGCUGCUGAGUUGGAAGUACACGGCAAUGCCAUGUGGCCCUGCGGUGCCGGCGCUAGGGCAGGAGAAAAGGUUCCGCCAUUUUUUUUUUUUUUUUUUUUUUUUUUGAGCUGGGGACCGAACCCAGGGCCUUGCGCUUCCUAGGCAAGCGCUCUACCACUGAGCUAAAUCCCCAACCCCCCCGCCAUUUUUUAAUAUUUACUGCAACACAUGUCCUCACGAUAGGCAGGGUGCUAUGCACAGAGCUUUGAGUGAGUGAGGUCUAGGUAACUGUGGGUAUGGCAGGGUUCACAUGAGCACCAUGGCUGGGAUUGCGAAGAGAGCCCAGCACAAAUGUCAAAUGAGUGCUUCUCAUUGUCAUCCAUUUGGGUGGCAUGUGGCCUUCUUCUCUUUUUUUCCUGCAACCCAAGGGAUCUCAGCCCUUCGCCCAGUUCUUGGUUCGCACUGACAGAAGCCUGAGUAUCAGCUUGUCGGCCCUGUUCUGUGAGUGUUGCUGAAGAGGUCUCCCUCUCUGGUGUUCACAGUUGGAUGCUGACUAGAUGGCCAGGGAUGUGGGAAGGACUUUUGAAAGCUAGGGGUAGGGGUAGAAGCUUUGGGGCUUUAGGGGAAAGAUUCUCUAACUAACCCAACAUAGUCUGGCUGAGUAGAGCAUGCUCCCUCCCCACAGAAGUCUUAGUCCUCAAGGAAUAGGUAGUAGGGCUGUGAGACUCUUCUGAAGAGCUGGCGUGCUUAGCCGGAACUUGGCAGUUGCCAGGAGGUUGCUUUCUGCUUACCUUUCCCCCUUCUAUUUGUCUUUGUGAAUUUGUCUGUAGUCUACCAGUCUAGGCAUGCAGGGCUGCAGUGCAUCGUGUGUGUGCCUUGGCUGGAGGAGACCAACAAAAUUUGUCAGCCUCUGCCUUGGAACAGGGUUUCUUACUUCCACAGAAGCUUGCCGUUUUGGCUGGCCUGGAUGGCCAGCGAGCUCUUGGGAUCGUCUGUAUGUGCCCACACUUUUAUGAGACUUCGUUUGUGCCUGUGUGCAACCCUCCACUGAAGGCACCAUCUUCUAAUGAACACAAGCAGGAAAGACUGGAGAAAAAGCUGCAGUAGCUGCUGGAGCAGAAGGAGCUGGCCCCAGGAAAGGAAUGUGGCAGGAAGGCAGCAGAAUCCAUUGACUUUCCCGGAUAAGACUGGGAGUUGCAGUUUGGAGCCAAAGCUGUCCCCUGUAACUAGGAUCUCUGUCUUUUGUGGACCUCUGCUAAUGUUCAAGACUCCUAGCCACCACCAGGGAAAGAACACUUCAGGUUAUUGUGCUGGUCCAGUCAAUAAGAACUUGUAUCCAGGAAAAAACAAAUAUGUUUGAUAACUCAGUGUGUCUGUAGAAUUGUGUUCUCUUCCUCCCUUCUGAGCUCUCUAGUGUGCUCUGAACAGACUGUCCUUGAACUCACAGAGCUCCACUUGCUUUUGCCUCCCAAGCGAUGGGAUUUAAAGGCAAGUCUCACCAGGCCCAGCUGAAAUUAUAAUUUUAUUCAGGAAUAUCCCCUUGGACACUGUUAGAUGUAACACUAGCUGUCUUCAUUGUUCACUUCCCAUGUCAAGUGUUCUCUGGAUAAAAUAGAAACCUAUUGCCAAGAUGAACCCAGGCAGAUGUCUCUGCUGUAGGUCAGAACCUUCAUCAGGUGUUAUACAACAGACUCAUCAAAAGAACCAGGGGGUUGGGGAUUUAGCUCAGUGGUAGAGCGCUUGCCUAGCAAGCGCAAGGCCCUGGGUUCAGUCCCCAGCUCUGAAAAAGAGAAAAAAAAAAAAAAAAAAAGAACCAGGAUGUAGAUUCCCAGUACAGUCCUAAGGAAAGCACAGCUGGCUCUGUUUAAUGUCAGAGCCUCUGUUCUCAGCCACGCAGCUCAGAAGAUGCUGCUCCAGCACGACAGGUGCUUGCCUCUUGCCUGGGUGCAAGGUGCCUUCCAAGCAGGAGAACUGAGCUCGCCUUGUUCAGGUGCCUAGAUUGCAAGGUUAUAUUAUGUGUAUCUAUUAAACAAGGUGGUCAAUGAGCAAUCAAUCAUGAACGAUGUGUUUACCUCUCCUGUGCUGUUGACAGUGCUGCUUAUACACUAUUGUUUUUUCCAAAUCAAGUCCCUGGACUGUAGGAGAAAGACCUGUUCUAUCUAAGAGAACAGGGAGCAUACGGUACUCAGAUAAACUCCUGACACUUGUGAAAGGCUGGAACAAUUUCAAGGUCCAGCUACUCUGUAGCCCUUAUUUCAUGUGGGUACCAACAAUGACUUCUCUGAAAUGAUUGGUGUUGACUGUCCUGCACAAUAUAGAUUCUUGAGGUCGCAGAUUGACUGCUACAUGUAAGGACCCCGUCAGGCUGGUGCCCUAACUGCCUUCCUCUAGGGCAGAAAAAGUCCAGCGAGGGCUGAAAGAGGCCACGGCCCAGUGUGAAAACCUCCUGUAGACCGAGCUACUGUGGUGAGAGCACUGAGAGUCACAGGCAAGAGAGCCAUCAUUGCCUCCCAGCCCAGCAGCCACAGCACUCAUGGGGUGGGUUCUCUUCCUCGACUCUGGUUUUUUAUGUGUGAAUAGGCCCCAACAUUGUCUAGCCUGUGAGCCAGCAAGGCCACGUCUGGGUCUAACUGGCUUUCCUUCUCUGGCAGUGUCCUCUGACAGAACUGAGGGGGAGAAGGAAGCCACAGACAAAGGGAAUCCCUGACAUUCUCCACACUUGGAUCAAGGCCUCCUUAGAACAAGACAUGUCCUUAGAGCUAUAAACUCAUCAGGGAGGCAAGAGCAACCUUGCUACAAAUGGUCCAAGUGCCUGUUGGCUCACUGUUUUGCAAGAAAGAAAGAGGAAGGAAAAAAAAAAGCAAACCAAUCCUAAACAAAACCCCACCCAGAAAUACUCAUUACACAGACUUUGACAUCUGCCAGCAAGUGGUCCCAGAGAGGGGCACAAUGACGUGAAGGGAGAAUGCGUUUCUGCUCCAAGUUACUUUGUCAGCUCAUUGCUGAGGUCUUUUGUAAGCUGUCAGGGCCCUCAGCCCUUCGUAUGUGGAGGGAACCCUGUCAAGGGAGCCUAUGUUGCAGUCACACCAGGUAAACCACCCAGAAACCAAUCACCCUCUUAUCCCGGUGCGGUGCUGAAGCUGCUCCAUGCCCUGCACAUGUGAGUCUGAAGUUAAUGCUCCACAGAGAGGAUCACGUCACUCAUAUGUUCCUCUACAAGGAAAUUGACUGAGGGUUCUCCAGCUCACAGCCUGGACUGAAAUCCUGAGAAGGGAUUUGCAGAGGAUGUCAGAGGGACCUUUGAUGUCUUUGGACAGUCUUGAAAAGGUACAGGCUCAAAGAUCAUAUGGAGGCGAACAAUUACAGAAUCAACCUUAGCAAAGGCUUGACCUACAAAGCCCCAAAUUGGCAUCUCUACACUUGUGCUGAAAAGGUUGUUACAACUAACACUGUCUGCUUUCCUACUGUGUGUCCACAACCAGCCACAGGGUGUGGAUCAGUGCCACAAAAUCUGUAUUGGGAGACUGCUGCUGAGCUAAACUUUUUGUUUGUUGAUUGGUUGGUUGGUGUUUGUUUGUUUUAAGUUUUGGUUUUCUUUGUAUUGCUUUGAGGUUUUGCUAUAUUUUAGAUCUUUCUUUUGUUCUUUGUUAUUUUGUAUACACUGUACCUACUGCAUAUACAGUAUAUACAUUGUAUAUACACUGUAUCUACUGCAUAUAUAGUAUAUACUGUGUAUACAAUGUACCUAUUGCAUAUAUAAUAUAUACAUUGUAUAUACUGCAUAUACUGCCUAUACACUGUAUAUACUGAAUGCUCUUUUAAAGCUCCUAUUGAGUCAAAUGACUGUUUCUCUGAAACAAGCUUUUUAAAUUAGGUGUGCUGCUACACAGUUGUAGCCCCAGAACUCACAGAGGUGGAUAUCUCCAAGUUCUCGGCAGUUGGAUAAUCUCUUCGUGAUUCAUGUCAUAUAUUCAGCUACUCCUAAAACAUGGUACUCUGUAUGUGCAUAUUCCUGAGGUGAUCAUGCAUAUCAAAUUAUCAAUAAAUACACUGGUAUUUUCUGAUGCCUCUCAGGAAAUGAGAACAUUUAUUAAGGCAGCAUAAAGAAUUCAGGAGAUCCCAGAGCUAUCUGCCUCUGGUUUCCUUGAAAUACAGAAUCUGUCGAAACCACAAUGCAGAGAUUAGAACCUCCUAAGACUUGGGGACAUGGUGUUUUUAAGGAGCUGUUGGCAUCAACUAUGCAUUUCAUACAUUUUUUUUAGAUUAAUUUAUAUUUAUAUGUAUAGAUGUUUUGGCUGCUGUCAAUGAAUCACAUGCAUGAAGUUCCCAUAGAGACCAGAAGAGGGCAAUGGUUUCCACCUAGAACUGGAGUUACAGAGGACUGUCAUAUUCUCUGGAUCCUUUGGAAAAACAGUACGUCUUCUGAAUGAAUGAGCCAUCUCUCUAGCCCUGCUCUUGACUUCUGUCCUUCCUUGCAUACUGUAUUAGUUGGACUGGAUGACCCCAAAACAAAGAAAGGUGUUUGUGGAGCCCCAUAAGGACUGGUACAUGAGGUAGGCAUGGGAGAUUGCCUUGGGCUGCCAGGCAUCAGUGGGGCUCUCCUGGGUUCAGGGUCAUGCCUCAGCAUCUCUUAUUGUCAGGGUUGGAGAAGUUCUGUCUCUGUUCACCUAGGAUGACAAUACAGUCUGCCCAUCAUCUGAAAUGCAGGAUUGAGAAGACUCUCCCAGGAGUGGAGGUGUGGGAAGGAAUUCAUGUCGGUGCACCAGCUAAACUGUGUUAAGAGGAAACAGCAGGCCAGCCUGAGUGGCUGGAGCCUGCAGCAGAGGCCACAUGGCUCUUGGGGGAGCAUGUCUGUUCAAGGCUAAGAAGGGAGAUGGCUGACUAGGCUGCUCUUUCAACACAGCAGUUUUCAGAGUGGGUUAGGAAGUGUUUCUUCCACAUGGUUGAUUUACUCUUGUGAGGCUCCCCUGGAAUGGGAGCUGACUUCUGAGACUGACAGUGAACCCCAGUGUUAACUCAUGAAAGAAGUAAUCAUGUGAGUGCCCAACCUCCUGCUGUGAAACCAAGGCUUUUAAGAGCUCUGCAGCCCAAAAUGAGGGGGAUGGAUGUUCAGCUUCUCUGACGUCAGUCACCUGCUCUUUCUGAGCUGACUCUUAUACUAUGGCAUACCUUCAGAUACACUGCAAACUAGCUGUGACUUCGUAGUAAAUUACUGAUCACCACCAUGUGGCAGGGGACUCCUUGUCCAUCUUUCUGUUAUCUAGAAGGAUCUAGGGCAAGCCAUGCCUUACUUCCAUGUAGGUCCUCCUCACCGCUCUCGGCUGUUUUGAUAAAUGCUAAAAGAUUGGUAGAUUAACAUCUCCUGUUCUCCUUGCAUCCAUGCAGGUAUAGAACAGUUUAAUUUCAGCCUGUCUUGGGCUAAACUGUCGUGAGUGUGCUGUGUGGACUGGGGCCCUUCGUCUUCUCUUUCAGAGAAACAUCCCCAGACUUGAAAGCAUUCUGCAAACCAGUCUCAAGGACCAGUAUGGUGGCUGAACCGACAGCUCAAUCUCUUUUGAAGUCAGCUUUGUAGUAGUUGCAAUGGCUGAGCCGAGUUCUUGUAACUCAGGUUUGUAACUCAGAGAUAGAGUACUUGCCAAGCGGUCGUAGCGUCCUAAGGUUUAAUCUUAGCACAUCUGGACGGAAGGGGACAGAAAAUUCACCCUGUUACAUCCUAGAGAGAAGCAUACAGAAAAGCAGGAGGUUUCACAGAAACAUUUUAAAUCCUCCAGCCUCCAUCUCUUGCCUUCAGUGGAAUGCAGCAAGCGUUCACUCUUGAGUUGAACACUCCCAACGAAGGACAGAUGCAUACACAGACCAUAGAUAUAGAUCCAUAGCUUACUAAAUUCCGGGCUUUCUGUGGUAACUGGAAAGAUGGAUAAGCAGUUAAUGGUAAUGUUGGGAAGCCUAUAGACCCGAAUUUUUCUCCCCCUGGGACACACAUGAUUGAAGGAGGGGGAAAAAAAUCUGCCACAAAUUGUCCCCUGAGCUUCGUGAGGUGUUUAUAUGUGUGGUAGGUCUUGUCCCAGAGAAACCAAGACAAUCUGGUUUCCAAUUCCUCACUUACGCUAGAAUCUCUCCAACUGAUACACCCGUGUAAAUGGAUUAACUACUGUGUGUUCCACUUGACUGAUUCGACACAUUUGUUAUCUUACUUUUGAUACAGAGAAGCUUUAGAAACAAAGAAGACCUCCACCACAUGUUCACCUGAAAAACAGGUUAAGGGAAUGUGGGCAUCUAGAACUUGUAACUGCGCUGAGACCACUGUUGGGCCCAAAUGGCUCUAAAAUGUCUUCUAUAGAUGCCUGUCUGUUUUUUACUGUCCACCUUGGACCAUCUUGAAGAACCCAUGCCUUGUGAUUAAAGUCUGCCAGUCCCUAUGGCCUGCUGAUGUCUCACUGGAGCUCAGUGCUUCUAGAAUGAGGAUUAGAUGGCCAGAACGAUGCACAGUUAGUCUAGGUCACCUGCAACGCCUGUCUUCUGCUGUGGUCCACAUUUUCUGAACUGUGAGUGGUCUAUUCCACCAUCCAGGGGUUAAGGGAUGCCCAGCAUUAGUGCUCCUGAGUUAGAUACCUGGGUAGGGGGAGAAAAAUCAAUUCCUGCAAGUUGUCCACUGCCCCCAAAAUAUGCUAUGGCAGCAGCACGCCCAUACGUGUGUGUGUCUAAGUACAUAAAUAAAUUCAAUAGCAACAUGAAAUCAUAUUUUAAUACCAUGCAACUCUAAACUUUAUAUUGUCAAGUGACACAGAUCUUUGUGGCCAGACGACAGAGGAAAUGCAAGGUUCCUUCCAGAUCAGGACAGAAGUUGGAUGAAAGAAGGAGAGGCUUGCCAGCAUGCUGCUAGCCAGGAGAGACCUGUGCCGAGAAGUGAAAACCUACGCCAUUGGCCGCCGGCAUGAGGUAUCUAUGUCAUCGGUCAUGUCUAGGAUUUGGGCUUAUGGUUUUUUGCCCUUAGAAGCCUGCUGCUUUACAAUAAAGUUGAGCCUUGAUUAGAACUUUG
This is a non-coding RNA of Rattus norvegicus (Norway rat), 9075 nucleotides long. The record is from RefSeq and is a predicted model, not a curated record. Lineage: Eukaryota; Metazoa; Chordata; Mammalia; Rodentia; Muridae.